ACAAAGGAAAACUGUUCACUGUGCUCACAAAAGUCAAGUGGACUGAUGCAUUUAGACAUGGUCUCCUUGCAGAUGACAAAUACAGAUCUGUGUUGUGCGGUGGUGUGUUUUUCUUUCAUUUGAUAUUUGUUUAAUAUCUGUUUCCCCCCCCAACCCCCCUUUCCCUGCCCCUUUCCCUAGAACCUUCCCUGUCAUUCAUUCUAGCCCCCUCCUCAGCUUCCAGAUGUUAGUUCUGCCCUAAACUCCUCCCCUGCUAUUCCCUCAUUGAUUACUGUUCCUACACCCGUCCUCCUGAGUUCUGUAUAAAACCUUUGCCCCCCCGCCCACCGGGGUCUUGGGGCUCAUGGAAUAAAACCAUCUCGUUCCCCCCCCAAGUCCCGUGUCGCCUUCGUCUGUCCCUGCGCGCCACGAACUGAAACUGCAGAGCUUGCGGGGGAAAGCGGCCGCCCGUUCUCUUCCCUCACCGCCCAGCACGGCUCGGAGUGCCGCGGCGAGGAGCGCAUGCCGCGCCUCAACANAGAGCUUGCGGGGGAAAGCGGCCGCCCGUUCUCUUCCCUCACCGCCCAGCACGGCUCGGAGUGCCGCGGCGAGGAGCGCAUGCCGCGCCUCAACAUAUGGUAGCAGAGGAUGGUUCCCUCCUUCGUCUUGUAAAAAAAACGGGCAAAUUUGUGGGGGCGCCCGCCUCACAGAAGAAGAAGGAAGGAAGAGGAACAUCUACGGCCGUAAAAGCUCUGCCUGAUGCUAUGAGGAGCUGAGCGCCGAGCGAAAAAGAUUGAGGCUCCGGGACCUCUUUGUUCUCGCCAUCUUCCCGCCCGGGAGCAGCCGCGCUGCAGGGGCAGCCGGGCUGCAGAGCUUUUUGGCGGGCAGACUUACCCGAGAACACAGAGGGCGGUUUUGGCAGCGGCUCGGGGGAGCCUGAAGAGGGGCUGACCGAGAAGAGGUUCAUUCCUCGGUCAGCAUCUGCAGCGAGACCACCGGAGGCUGAUAGUGGCCGAAACCAAGGCUUCGGGGACGAGUCUUGGUUUAACGGGAACACCCAGGCUUCCGGAAGGGCCAAACCGAAAGAGAAGGAACAUCCCCAGUUUUUAGCGCGACUUUUCCAUCGAGUCGAGGAGAAGAUUCAAGCCAUCUCCGUCCGAGCCUGCAAGGUAAGACAUUCAAAUUGAACAAACCACAUCGCUAUCCGCUAACUCUACUUUAAAACAAGCGCCGUUAUCCGCUGACUCUGCUUUAAAAAUUUAAGAAGCUGAACAUCACAAGCGCCGCGACGAAGCAAAUUCUAAAUCAGAUGAAGUCACAAAUCCUGCUGUGCUUUGUACCCUUAAUUUGGACUUUGAUUUAGGACAAUUUUAUAUAUUCCAGAUGAAGUUUUUAUAUGUUUCAUAUGUUGUAAUCACAAUUAGUUUAUCAUUUUUUAAUGUCUUUCAAUUUAUGUUUUUUUAAUAAUAUGUAAUGUUACAAUUUGAUUUUAUAUUAAGUUGUUUUGUUGUAAUUAUAAUUAAUUCAGUCUUUUCUGAUAUUUUUUAACUUAAAAGCUGUGUUUAACCAUUAUUGCUACAGGAAUCACUCAGCUACUAUAUCGCUUCAGGCUUGCUGCAUUGCUGCGAAAUUUAAAAAAUUUAUUAGUUAUAUUUAGUUGAUCU
This 1643-nucleotide long non-coding RNA is filed under the name Lonchura striata (white-rumped munia). RNAcentral's name for it is "domestica (Bengalese finch) lncRNA (ENSLSDG00000010699.1)". The record is from RNAcentral. Lineage: Eukaryota; Metazoa; Chordata; Aves; Passeriformes; Estrildidae.